ACAGUCGUGGCCGAGUGGUUAAGGCGACGGACUAGAAAUCCACUCCGCACAGGCUCAAAUCCUGUCGACUGCG
This 73-nucleotide transfer RNA is filed under the name Ixodes scapularis (black-legged tick). It matches the Rfam family "tRNA". From Rfam's summary of the family: Transfer RNA (tRNA) molecules are approximately 80 nucleotides in length. Lineage: Eukaryota; Metazoa; Arthropoda; Arachnida; Ixodida; Ixodidae. The record is from Rfam by way of RNAcentral.